CCUACGGGUGGCAGCAGUGGGGAAUAUUGGGCAAUGGGCGCAAGCCUGACCCAGCAACGCCGCGUGCAGGAAGAAGGCCCUCGGGUUGUAAACUUCUUUUAUUCGGGCGGAAACAAAUGACGGUACCGAAUGAAUAAGCCACGGCUAACUACGUGCCAGCAGCCGCGGUAAUACGUAGGUGGCAAGCGUUAUCCGGAUUUACUGGGUGUAAAGGGCGUGUAGGCGGGAGAGCAAGUCAGACGUGAAAUUCCGGGGCUCAACCCUGGCACUGCGUUUGAAACUGUUCUGCUUGAGUGAUGUAGAGGCAGGCGGAAUUCAGUGUGUAGCGGUGAAAUGCGUAGAGAUACGGCGGAACACCAGUGGCGAAGGCGGCCUGCUGAACAUUAACUGACGUUGAGGCGCGAAAGCGUGGGGAGCAAACAGGAUUAGAUACCCGGGUAGUC
Molecule: ribosomal RNA, 443 nt
Filed under: uncultured bacterium
Lineage: Bacteria
Description: partial 16S ribosomal RNA
Rfam family: Bacterial small subunit ribosomal RNA
Source: RNAcentral